RNAcentral lists this ribosomal RNA (794 nucleotides) under uncultured Pelagibacteraceae bacterium. Its description in RNAcentral is "bacterial SSU rRNA". It matches the Rfam family "Bacterial small subunit ribosomal RNA", at positions 44 to 886 of the family's 1533-position model. The record is from RNAcentral. Lineage: Bacteria; Pseudomonadati; Pseudomonadota; Alphaproteobacteria; Candidatus Pelagibacterales; Candidatus Pelagibacteraceae.
ACGCCUAAUACAUGCAAGUCGAACGGAGUAGCAAUACUUAGUGGCAGACGGGUGAGUAACAUGUGGGUAUCUUCCCUUUGGUGAGGAAUAACACGAGGAAACUUGUGCUAAUACCUCAUAAGUCUUUACGGAGAAAGCUUUAUGCGCCAAUGGAUGAGCCUGCACUUGAUUAGUUUGUUGGUAGGGUAAUGGCCUACCAAGACUGUGAUCAAUAGCUGAUUUGAGAGGAUGAUCAGCCACAUUGGGACUGAGACACGGCCCAAACUCCUACGGGAGGCAGCAGUAGGGAAUCUUGCACAAUGGAGGAAACUCUGAUGCAGCGAUGCCGCGUGAGUGAAGAAGGCCCUUGGGUUGUAAAGCUCUUUCGUCGGGGAAGAAAAUGACUGUACCCGAAUAAGAAGGUCCGGCUAACUUCGUGCCAGCAGCCGCGGUAAUACGAAGGGACCUAGCGUAGUUCGGAAUUACUGGGCUUAAAGAGUUCGUAGGUGGUUAAAAAAGUUGGUGGUGAAAGCCCAGAGCUUAACUCUGGAACUGCCAUCAAAACUUUUUAGCUAGAGUUUGAUAGAGGAAAGCAGAAUUUCUAGUGUAGAGGUGAAAUUCGUAGAUAUUAGAAAGAAUACCAAUUGCGAAGGCAGCUUUCUGGAUCAUUACUGACACUGAGGAACGAAAGCAUGGGUAGCGAAGAGGAUUAGAUACCCUCGUAGUCCAUGCCGUAAACGAUGUGUGUUAGAUGUUGGAAAUUUAUUUUCAGUAUCACAGCGAAAGCAAUAAACACACCGCCUGGGGAGUACGAC